RNAcentral lists this transfer RNA (78 nucleotides) under Haliotis rubra (blacklip abalone). RNAcentral's name for it is "tRNA-Thr". It matches the Rfam family "tRNA". Rfam says of the family: Transfer RNA (tRNA) molecules are approximately 80 nucleotides in length. Their secondary structure includes four short double-helical elements and three loops (D, anti-codon, and T loops). Lineage: Eukaryota; Metazoa; Mollusca; Gastropoda; Lepetellida; Haliotidae. The record is from RNAcentral.
GCCUUCAUAGCUCAGUGGAUAGAGCACUGGUCUUGUUAACCAGGGGUCGUGAGUUCGAUCCUCACUGGAGCUCUGGCC